CUGCGGCCAAAACCAAAACUAAGCAAGAAGAGCAACCCCACCCGCCAGCCAAAUCCAACCAUUCCCCUCCACCAUUUCCAAAUCACUGCCACCCACACCUACCUCACCUGCACAGCUACCUCCUUCACCUCUCUUUGCCCUGUACCAUGGCCUCUGGCGUCAGGGAUUGAAGCCCCUGCGCCCACCAUUGCCACCACCCGCCACCACCCACCUCACCAUUGACGCCCACC
This 230-nucleotide long non-coding RNA is filed under the name Setaria italica (foxtail millet). Its description in RNAcentral is "long non-coding RNA (SITA_LNC003646)". Lineage: Eukaryota; Viridiplantae; Streptophyta; Magnoliopsida; Poales; Poaceae. The record is from RNAcentral.